Molecule: long non-coding RNA, 213 nt
Filed under: Oryza brachyantha (malo sina)
Lineage: Eukaryota; Viridiplantae; Streptophyta; Magnoliopsida; Poales; Poaceae
Description: long non-coding RNA (OBRA_LNC000519)
Source: RNAcentral
CAAGAUAGAUAAAUAUUUUUUUUGAUGAGAACACAGUACAACGCAGACGCUCACAACACACGCACACUCUCCCUUAAGAACGCACGUGUGCAAACCUCCCUAUGAGCACCUUCGAAGACUGGCCGAUAAAUCUAGAGAAACCCCAAAGUCGCCACGGGUGCCUUGUUGUGACCUCAGGUGCUACUAAGACCUUAUGUAACCACUAGGCUACAG